UUGCACAUCUCGCAAGAAUUU
This 21-nucleotide small nuclear RNA is filed under the name Arabidopsis thaliana (thale cress). Its description in RNAcentral is "snRNA_05765". The record is from RNAcentral. Lineage: Eukaryota; Viridiplantae; Streptophyta; Magnoliopsida; Brassicales; Brassicaceae.